RNAcentral lists this ribosomal RNA (335 nucleotides) under uncultured Symbiodinium. RNAcentral's name for it is "partial Bacterial small subunit ribosomal RNA". It matches the Rfam family "Bacterial small subunit ribosomal RNA", at positions 442 to 769 of the family's 1533-position model. Lineage: Eukaryota; Dinophyceae; Suessiales; Symbiodiniaceae. The record is from RNAcentral.
GGGAAGAAAAGGCUGUUGCUAAUAUCGACAGCUGAUGACGGUACCUGAAGAAUAAGCACCGGCUAACUACGUGCCAGCAGCCGCGGUAAUACGUAGGGUGCGAGCGUUAAUCGGAAUUACUGGGCGUAAAGCGAGCGCAGACGGUUACUUAAGCAGGAUGUGAAAUCCCCGGGCUCAACCUGGGAACUGCAUUUCGAACUGGCAAACUAGAGUAUGAUAGAGGGUGGUAGAAUUUCAGGUGUAGCGGUGAAAUGCGUAGAUAUCUGGAGGAACAUCAGUGGCGAAGGCGACUGCCUGGACUGAUACUGACACUGAGGUGCGAAAGCGUGGGGAGC